This 423-nucleotide ribosomal RNA is filed under the name uncultured Bacteroidota bacterium. Its description in RNAcentral is "bacterial SSU rRNA". It matches the Rfam family "Bacterial small subunit ribosomal RNA", at positions 355 to 776 of the family's 1533-position model. The record is from RNAcentral. Lineage: Bacteria; Pseudomonadati; Bacteroidota.
UAGGGAAUAUUGGACAAUGGUCGGAAGACUGAUCCAGCCAUGCCGCGUGAGGGAUGAAGGUCCUCUGGAUUGUAAACCUCUUUUAGCAGGGGAUAAACCGGCGCUACACGCGCCGCUGAAGGUACCUGCAGAAUAAGCACCGGCUAACUCCGUGCCAGCAGCCGCGGUAAUACGGAGGGUGCAAGCGUUGUCCGGAUUUAUUGGGUUUAAAGGGUGCGUAGGCGGACCUAUAAGUCAGUGGUGAAAUCCCGCAGCUUAACUGUGGAAUUGCCAUUGAUACUGCAGGUCUUGAAUAGGGUCGAGGUAGUUGGAAUACGUGGUGUAGCGGUGAAAUGCUUAGAUAUCACGUAGAACACCUAUUGCGAAGGCAGAUUACUGGGCCCUUAUUGACGCUGAGGCACGAAAGUGUGGGGAGCGAACAGG